GGGGAUAGCCUUGCGAAAGCGGGGGUAAACCCGCAUGGUCCUUUUCCUUCACCUGAGGGGCUAGGUAAACAUUUAUGGGUAGUGGAGGGGCUUGCGUCUGAUUAGCUAGUUGGCGGGGUAAGGGCCCACCAAGGCGACGAUCAGUAGGGGUUCUGAGAGGAUUGGCCCCCACAUGGGUACUGAGACACGGACCCAACUCCUACGGGAGGCAGCAGUAGGGAAUAUUGGGCAAUGGAGGCAACUCUGACCCAGCCAUGCCGCGUGAAGGAUGAAGGCGCUCAGCGUUGUAAACUUCUUUUAACUGGGAAGAACGAGCAGGGUGCGCCCUGUUGUGACGGUACCAGUGGAAUAAGCACCGGCUAACUCCGUG
Molecule: ribosomal RNA, 370 nt
Filed under: uncultured Spirosoma sp.
Lineage: Bacteria; Pseudomonadati; Bacteroidota; Cytophagia; Cytophagales; Cytophagaceae
Description: bacterial SSU rRNA
Rfam family: Bacterial small subunit ribosomal RNA
Source: RNAcentral